GCAGCAGCUGGACUGACGGGAUUGGUACUCUGGAAUGAUGUGUAGAGUGUUCCCAGGAAUGGUGCUGUCCCUCUGUGUCACUGCGAGAAUGAUGACAAAUCCACAGGUUAUACUCAGUCCGGAUCCAGUGAGGGUCGCAGUGGGCAGCUCAGUGCAGAUACAGUGUGCAAUUGUGCACGGCAGUGUGCAACAUCUUGGUGUAACGUGGAAUAGUAACCACGGUGAGAUCCUGACACAUUCCCAAUCUGAUGGGGUUACCCGAGAUCACACCGAAAAUGAGAAAGUACAAUCUUACAGAGAUCUCAGACACAACAGCUACAUCCUCACCAUCAGAGACAUGGAGGCCAGCAACAGUGGACGUUAUCACUGUGACAUUGUUGGAAAGAACACGCUCAACAGCGUAAACACUGUCACGGUAUCUGUACAAGGCAGAGAUUUUCCUGUCCCAGCUCAGUCACCGAUGCUGAAUGUCAGAGUGAGUCAGACUGCUGCGGUAAACUGCUCUGUGCCGGGUAUCGAUUUGGAGAAGACUGAUUUACACUGGCAACGACGUAACCUGACAGGGUAUCAGUGGGUUGUGUCACACCGUGCUAAUGGCAUUGUGGAAGUGAAUAAACAUUUUCAGGGACAUUUUAAUUCUACCAGCGAUAUCGCCAGUCGUGUUGCCACUCUAAUAGUCACAAACAUUCAACCUGAAGAUGCAACUGUGUAUUACUGUAAAGUGUGGGGUGAUGUGUAUGGGAACGGAACCCAGAUCAAUAUCAUCGAAACCUGGGAUCCAGAUUUAUUCCCUAUUUUCCUGGGCCGUCUGUUCAUUCUCCUACUGUUUCUGGCCAUUGCUGUCAUCGUUUUGCUCCAUGUAAACCAAACGGCAUGCUUCACCAAAACAUCAAGAUAGUGCAGAGCCUAAAGCACAUCCUGGUUUCUGAGGGUGAAAGGUAGCAGGUAUCGAGAGAAAGGAAAUUCCCACAUUUCACUUUAACUGGUCACACUGUCUGAGCAUUGGUUUGCUGGGCCCUGAGAGAUACAACAGACAGAACGUUGAUGUUGCUGCGGCACCAAGAAGCUCUGUACCUGAAAGGACUGCAUCUUCCGUUUCUGGCGUUGUUUAAUGUGCUCCAACCUCAAAGAGAUCUGUGUCUGAGGGACAUUGCAUUGUCUUUUAGGUCUAACCCCAGCCCACAAUCCACCAGCUGCGGCUCCUAUUGUGGAGGAUGACGGAGAGAUGCAUUACGCUGAACUACAAAUGGGAAAGGUCACUCAGCACCAGCAGGCCACGGUCACAGUCAGUGAUACAAACUCGGAGUAUGCAGUUGUCAAACACACAUAGUCACCUGGAUGUAUCCAUCGCUGUUGCUGCAGGCAACAGAUUCUCUCAAAGCUAACCUGCCCUAUUUUUGAGCAGCAUUGAGGUGCACUGAGACCCUAUUAAACCUGAGAUUACUGGGCACUCAGACGCUCCCAGACCCUAAGAUUACUGGGCACUCAGACCCUCCCAGACCCUGAGAUUACUGGGCACUCAGACCCUCCCAGACCCUGAGAUUACUGGGCACUCAGACCCUCCCAGACCCUGAGAUUACUGGGCACUCAGGCCAUCCCAAACCCUGAGAUUACUAGGCACUCAGACCCUCCCAGACCCUGAUGUUACUGGGCACUCAGACCCUCCCAGACCCUGAUAUUACUGGGCACUCAGACCCUCCCAGACCCUGAGAUUACUGGGCACUCAGACGCUCCCAGACCCUGAUAUUCCUGGGCACUCAGACCCUCCCAGACCCUGAGAUUACUGGGUACUCAGACCCACCCAGACGCUGAGAUGACUGGGCACUCAGACCCUCCCAGACCCUGAGAUUACUGGGCACUCAGACCAUCCCAGACCCUGAGAUUACUGGGUACUCAGAGCCUCCCAGACUCUGAGAUUACUGGGUACUCAGACCCACCCAGACCCUGAGAUCACUGGGCACUCAGGCCAUCCCAGACCCUGAGAUUACUGGGCACUCAGAUUCUCCCAAACCCUGAUGUUACUGGGUACUCAGACCCUUCCAGUCACUGAGAUUACUGGGCACUCAGACCUUCCAGGGAGCUCCGUCUCAGGACAGGGGGCAAGUCCUUUUGAACUGAGAUGAGGAGGAAAUUCCUCUUGGUUGAAUCUUUGGAAUUCUCUUCACCAGAGGCUGUGAAAACUCAAUCUUUGAGGAAAUUCCAGAUUGAAAUUGCUGGGUUUUGAGUUUCUACUGGUUUAUGUAGAUUAUGGAUGGAUAUGGUGCUGAGGUAUAGGUUUAGCCAUGAUCAUAUUGAACAUACCAACAUCCCUCAGUAUCUGAGAUAAUGGAAACUGCAGAUG
Molecule: RNA transcript, 2341 nt
Organism: Stegostoma tigrinum
Lineage: Eukaryota; Metazoa; Chordata; Chondrichthyes; Orectolobiformes; Stegostomatidae
Exons: 6
Source: RefSeq, a predicted model, not a curated record